ACUAUCGUUAACUGAAUACAUAGGUUAACGAGGCGAACCGGGGGAACUGAAACAUCUAAGUACCCCGAGGAAAAGAAAUCAACCGAGAUUCCCCCAGUAGCGGCGAGCGAACGGGGAGCAGCCCAGAGUCUGAAUCAGCUUGUGUGUUAGUGGAACGGUCUGGAAAGUCCGACGGUACAGGGUGAUAGUCCCGUACACCAAAAUGCACAGGUUGUGAACUCGAAGAGUAGGGCGGGACACGUGGUAUCCUGUCUGAAUAUGGGGGGACCAUCCUCCAAGGCUAAAUACUCCUGACUGACCGAUAGUGAACCAGUACCGUGAGGGAAAGGCGAAAAGAACCCCGGCGAGGGGAGUGAAAAAGAACCUGAAACCGUGUACGUACAAGCAGUGGGAGCACCUUCGGGUGUGACUGCGUACCUUUUGUAUAAUGGGUCAGCGACUUAUAUUCUGUAGCAAGGUUAACCGUAUAGGGGAGCCGCAGGGAAACCGAGUCUUAACUGGGCGUUAAGUUGCAGGGUAUAGACCCGAAACCCGGUGAUCUAGCCAUGGGCAGGUUGAAGGUUGGGUAACACUAACUGGAGGACCGAACCGACUAAUGUUGAAAAAUUAGCGGAUGACUUGUGGCUGGGGGUGAAAGGCCAAUCAAACCGGGAGAUAGCUGGUUCUCCCCGAAAGCUAUUUAGGUAGCGCCUCGUGAAUUCAUCUUCGGGGGUAGAGCACUGUUUCGGCUAGGGGGUCAUCCCGACUUACCAACCCGAUGCAAACUACGAAUACCGAAGAAUGUUAUCACGGGAGACACACGGCGGGUGCUAACGUCCGUCGUGAAGAGGGAAACAACCCAGACCGCCAGCUAAGGUCCCAAAGUCAUGGUUAAGUGGGAAACGAUGUGGGAAGGCACAGACAGCCAGGAUGUUGGCUUAGAAGCAGCCAUCAUUUAAAGAAAGCGUAAUAGCUCACUGGUCGAGUCGGCCUGCGCGGAAGAUGUAACGGGGCUAAACCAUGCACCGAAGCUGCGGCAGCGACGCUUAUGCGUUGUUGGGUAGGGGAGCGUUCUGUAAGCCUGCGAAGGUGGCCUGUGAGGGCUGCUGGAGGUAUCAGAAGUGCGAAUGCUGACAUAAGUAACGAUAAAGCGGGUGAAAAGCCCGCUCGCCGGAAGACCAAGGGUUCCUGUCCAACGUUAAUCGGGGCAGGGUGAGUCGACCCCUAAGGCGAGGCCGAAAGGCGUAGUCGAUGGGAAACAGGUUAAUAUUCCUGUACUUGGUGUUACUGCGAAGGGGGGACGGAGAAGGCUAUGUUAGCCGGGCGACGGUUGUCCCGGUUUAAGCAUGUAGGCGGAGGUUCCAGGUAAAUCCGGUACCUUUUAACGCUGAGGUGUGAUGACGAGGCACUACGGUGCUGAAGUAACAAAUGCCCUGCUUCCAGGAAAAGCCUCUAAGCAUCAGGUAACAUUAAAUCGUACCCCAAACCGACACAGGUGGUCAGGUAGAGAAUACCAAGGCGCUUGAGAGAACUCGGGUGAAGGAACUAGGCAAAAUGGUGCCGUAACUUCGGGAGAAGGCACGCUGGUGUGUAGGUGAAGUCCCUGCGGACGGAGCUGAGACCAGUCGAAGAUACCAGCUGGCUGCAACUGUUUAUUAAAAACACAGCACUGUGCAAACACGAAAGUGGACGUAUACGGUGUGACGCCUGCCCGGUGCCGGAAGGUUAAUUGAUGGGGUUAUCCGUAAGGAGAAGCUCUUGAUCGAAGCCCCGGUAAACGGCGGCCGUAACUAUAACGGUCCUAAGGUAGCGAAAUUCCUUGUCGGGUAAGUUCCGACCUGCACGAAUGGCGUAAUGAUGGCCAGGCUGUCUCCACCCGAGACUCAGUGAAAUUGAACUCGCUGUGAAGAUGCAGUGUACCCGCGGCAAGACGGAAAGACCCCGUGAACCUUUACUAUAGCUUGACACUGAACAUUGAGCCUUGAUGUGUAGGAUAGGUGGGAGGCUUUGAAGCGUGGACGCCAGUCUGCGUGGAGCCAACCUUGAAAUACCACCCUUUAAUGUUUGAUGUUCUAACGUUGGCCCCUUAUCGGGGUUGCGGACAGUGUCUGGUGGGUAGUUUGACUGGGGCGGUCUCCUCCCAAAGAGUAACGGAGGAGCACGAAGGUUAGCUAAUCCUGGUCGGACAUCAGGAGGUUAGUGCAAUGGCAUAAGCUAGCUUGACUGCGAGCGUGACGGCGCGAGCAGGUGCGAAAGCAGGUCAUAGUGAUCCGGUGGUUCUGAAUGGAAGGGCCAUCGCUCAACGGAUAAAAGGUACUCCGGGGAUAACAGGCUGAUACCGCCCAAGAGUUCAUAUCGACGGCGGUGUUUGGCACCUCGAUGUCGGCUCAUCACAUCCUGGGGCUGAAGUAGGUCCCAAGGGUAUGGCUGUUCGCCAUUUAAAGUGGUACGCGAGCUGGGUUUAGAACGUCGUGAGACAGUUCGGUCCCUAUCUGCCGUGGGCGCUGGAGAAUUGAGGGGGGCUGCUCCUAGUACGAGAGGACCGGAGUGGACGCAUCACUGGUGUUCGGGUUGUCAUGCCAAUGGCACUGCCCGGUAGCUAAAUGCGGAAGAGAUAAGUGCUGAAAGCAUCUAAGCACGAAACUUGCCCCGAGAUGAGUUCU
This 2642-nucleotide ribosomal RNA is filed under the name Klebsiella pneumoniae. RNAcentral describes it as "bacterial LSU rRNA". It matches the Rfam family "Bacterial large subunit ribosomal RNA". The record is from RNAcentral. Lineage: Bacteria; Pseudomonadati; Pseudomonadota; Gammaproteobacteria; Enterobacterales; Enterobacteriaceae.